GUGGGGAAUUUUGGACAAUGGGCGCAAGCCUGAUCCAGCAAUGCCGCGUGUGUGAAGAAGGCCUUCGGGUUGUAAAGCACUUUUGUCCGGAAAGAAAUCUCCUGGGUUAAUACCUCGGGGGGAUGACGGUACCGGAAGAAUAAGCACCGGCUAACUACGUGCCAGCAGCCGCGGUAAUACGUAGGGUGCGAGCGUUAAUCGGAAUUACUGGGCGUAAAGCGUGCGCAGGCGGCUAUGCAAGACAGAUGUGAAAUCCCCGGGCUCAACCUGGGAACUGCAUUUGUGACUGCAUGGCUAGAGUGCGUCAGAGGGAGGUGGAAUUCCGCGUGUAGCAGUGAAAUGCGUAGAGAUGCGGAGGAACACCGAUGGCGAAGGCAGCCUCCUGGGAUGACACUGACGCUCAUGCACGAAAGCGUGGGGAGCAAACAGGAUUAGAUACCCUUGUAGUCC
Molecule: ribosomal RNA, 450 nt
Filed under: uncultured bacterium
Lineage: Bacteria
Description: partial 16S ribosomal RNA
Rfam family: Bacterial small subunit ribosomal RNA
Source: RNAcentral